Molecule: ribosomal RNA, 1147 nt
Filed under: Luteimonas terrae
Lineage: Bacteria; Pseudomonadati; Pseudomonadota; Gammaproteobacteria; Lysobacterales; Lysobacteraceae
Description: partial 23S ribosomal RNA
Rfam family: Bacterial large subunit ribosomal RNA
Source: RNAcentral
GUUAUAUGGUCAAGCGAAUAAGCGCACACGGUGGAUGCCUUGGCGGUCAGAGGCGAUGAAGGACGUGGUAGCCUGCGAAAAGUAUCGGGGAGCUGGCAACAAGCUUUGAUCCGGUAAUGUCCGAAUGGGGAAACCCACCUCGCAAGAGGUAUCGUGCAGUGAAUACAUAGCUGUACGAGGCGAACGCGGUGAACUGAAAUAUCUAAGUAACCGUAGGAAAAGAAAUCAACCGAGAUUCCCUGAGUAGUGACGAGCGAACGGGGAACAGCCCAAAAGUCGAUUUGGUUCUAGCAAAACGGUCCUGGAAAGACCGGCCAUAGAAGGUGACAGCCCUGUAUGCGAAAGGGCCAUAUCGAUGAAAAAUGAGUAGGGCGGGGCACGAGAAACCCUGUCUGAACAUGGGGGGACCAUCCUCCAAGGCUAAAUACUCCUGACCGACCGAUAGUGAACCAGUACCGUGAGGGAAAGGCGAAAAGAACCCCGGAGAGGGGAGUGAAAUAGACCCUGAAACCGUGUGCGUACAAGCAGUCGGAGCCCGCAAGGGUGACGGCGUACCUUUUGUAUAAUGGGUCAGCGACUUAUUGUUCGUGGCAAGCUUAACCGUAUAGGGGAGGCGAAGGGAAACCGAGUCUGAUAAGGGCGCAUAGUCGCGGGCAAUAGACCCGAAACCGGGUGAUCUAGUCAUGCCCAGGGUGAAGGUUGAGUAACAUCAACUGGAGGCCCGAACCCACUCCCGUUGCAAAGGUAGGGGAUGAGGUGUGAUUAGGAGUGAAAAGCUAAUCGAACCCGGAGAUAGCUGGUUCUCCUCGAAAGCUAUUUAGGUAGCGCCUCAUGUGAAUCUUCCUGGGGGUAGAGCACUGUUAUGGCUAGGGGGUCAUUGCGACUUACCAAACCAUUGCAAACUCCGAAUACCAGGACAGACUGCAUGGGAGACACACGGCGGGUGCUAACGUCCGUCGUGAAAAGGGAAACAACCCAGACCCACAGCUAAGGUCCCAAAUUAUCACUAAGUGGGAAACGAUGUGGAAAGGCAUAGACAGCCAGGAGGUUGGCUUAGAAGCAGCCACCCUUUAAAGAAAGCGUAAUAGCUCACUGGUCAAGUCGGUCUGCGCGGAAGAUUUAACGGGGCUAAGUGAUAAACCGAAGC